AUUGAACGCUGGCGGAAUGCUUUACACAUGCAAGUCGAACGGCAGCACGGGGACAACCCUGGUGGCGAGUGGCGAACGGGUGAGUAAUACAUCGGAACGUGCCCGGUCGUGGGGGAUAACGUAGCGAAAGUUACGCUAAUACCGCAUACGAUCUGAGGAUGAAAGCGGGGGACCUUCGGGCCUCGCGCGAUCGGAGCGGCCGAUGUCAGAUUAGGUAGUUGGUGGGGUAAAGGCCUACCAAGCCGACGAUCUGUAGCUGGUCUGAGAGGACGACCAGCCACACUGGGACUGAGACACGGCCCAGACUCCUACGGGAGGCAGCAGUGGGGAAUUUUGGACAAUGGGCGCAAGCCUGAUCCAGCCAUUCCGCGUGCAGGACGAAGGCCUUCGGGUUGUAAACUGCUUUUGUAUGGAACGAAAAGGCUCUGGCUAAUACCUGGGGCUCAUGACGGUACCGUAAGAAUAAGCACCGGCUAACUACGUG
This 484-nucleotide ribosomal RNA is filed under the name uncultured bacterium. RNAcentral describes it as "partial 16S ribosomal RNA". It matches the Rfam family "Bacterial small subunit ribosomal RNA", at positions 30 to 507 of the family's 1533-position model. The record is from RNAcentral.